AGACCCAGGCAAGAAGGGGUGCUGCUUUGGACUGCAUAUUUUGUCAAACUCAAUUCGAUCCUUCCCCAGCCUAACCCCAGUUUUCAAGGAGAUUGCAAGAGGACAACUUGGCUCUAAAAUCGAUGCAUGAACAUGCCAUUAGAAUUGACCUUGCCAAAAGAUGCCUCCCUAAAUCCACAAGAAUCUCCUUGUUUGAACACAGUUUCUAAUCCAGCUGUAAUGAAGACAGACAACAGUCAAGUUAACAAGACUUCCAUUACUAUCUUAAAUAGACAUGGCAGAGUUAGCGUCUUUUUCUUAUUCCUGGUCUUAGAGGAAACACUUUCAACUUUUCA
This is a long non-coding RNA of Cercocebus atys (sooty mangabey), 335 nucleotides long. RefSeq lists it as uncharacterized. NCBI's taxonomy places the organism in Eukaryota, Metazoa, Chordata, Mammalia, Primates, Cercopithecidae. The record is from RefSeq and is a predicted model, not a curated record. The transcript is spliced from 4 exons.